GGGAGGCAGAGGGUGGUGCUGGGGUUCCAGGAAGCCGAAGGUCCUUUCACAGAUGGACCGUUAAGCCAGCCCAGGGGACGGCAGAGCAGCCUGAGGGAGCAAGAACUGUCACCACGGUCUGCCCGCGAAUUUUAGACCACAAAUCUCAGCUUCUGGGAGCCAUAAUCAGGGCUGCAACCCUGUGCCAUCAGCAGAUAUGAAAGCAAGUGGAAGAUCCCUACAUAUAUGGGAUGCAGGCACUGAGGUGAUGCUGGGGUUGCAGUGAGCUGUCAAACUAGAUGUGUCAGAAAUGAGAAAGGAGAUGAGAGAACAAAUUAGAAUACAGAGUGAUCGACACUUUGAUGAAGGAAGUAAGUGGAGCCUGGGGUCCAUGAAACCCACUGCCAAACCAACCCAGACAGAGACAAAGUAUCCCUAUGUUUCCCAGGCUGAUCUCAAACUCCUGGCCUGAACUGACCUCCUGCCUCAACCGACCUCCUGCCUCAACCUCCAAAGCACUGGGAUUAACAGCAUAAGCCACUGUGCCCAGCCUAAUUUUUACUUUUCAACUUUGUACGUUGCGGUGUUUUUAAUACCCCUGCCAAGACCACAGUUUUAGGUAAACCGCCAUCCUGCCUAUACCCAUGUCCCUGUUCCCUUUCCUAGCUGUGUGACCUUGGGAAGUUCCCUUGCCUCACGAGGCAUCAACUUGCUCUUCUGUUAAACGGGGACAACAGAACCCCGUGAGACACUCUGACAAUCACAUGAAGCUAUGUGAAUAAAACAUGGGCCUAGUACAUAGCGAGUGUACAGCAGCUGCUCACUAGUCUUUCAACAAGUAGCGACUGAGAGUCUAUUACAUGCAGGCACAGGCAUAGGUGCUGGGGAUACAAGAAUGAGCAAAACACUGGUAAUGGGACAGACUGAUGGUAACGGGACAGACUGCUGGCAUAUUGGAAAUUCAGAAAACUCCCUGCCCUCCCAGUGGCAGGAGGUACAGCAAGCCGGCAAGUAAGUAAAAUACACUGGAUGUCAGAGGGUGGUGCUCAGUGUUGUGUGAGCAUCAAAGCAAAGAAAAGAAGAAGGGUGCUAAGCAGGGCUUAGACAUUUAAAUAAAGCCAUCAAGGAAAACGUUGCAGAGAAGAUAAUAUUUGAAUAAAAACUCAAAGAGGGUAAGAGUACAAA
Homo sapiens (human) is the source of this 1164-nucleotide long non-coding RNA. Ensembl annotates it as long intergenic non-protein coding RNA 1570. Lineage: Eukaryota; Metazoa; Chordata; Mammalia; Primates; Hominidae. The record is from Ensembl.